AGUUAGGAUUAGGUCGUGGAA
Molecule: microRNA, 21 nt
Filed under: Macaca mulatta (Rhesus monkey)
Lineage: Eukaryota; Metazoa; Chordata; Mammalia; Primates; Cercopithecidae
Also listed under: 2 other names
Description: mml-miR-1258
Source: miRBase by way of RNAcentral